This 468-nucleotide ribosomal RNA is filed under the name uncultured bacterium. Its description in RNAcentral is "bacterial SSU rRNA". It matches the Rfam family "Bacterial small subunit ribosomal RNA", at positions 34 to 518 of the family's 1533-position model. The record is from RNAcentral.
CGCUGGCGGCGUGCCUAACACAUGCAAGUCGAGCGAGGAGAUCCUUCGGGAUGAUCCUAGCGGCGGACGGGUGAGUAACACGUGGGCAACCUGCCUCAUAGAGAGGAAUAGCCUUCCGAAAGGGAGAUUAAUACCUCAUAACAUUGCAGUUUCGCAUGGAACAGCAAUUAAAGGAGUAAUCCGCUAUGAGAUGGGCCCCGCGGCGCAUUAGCUAGUUGGUGAGGUAAUGGCUCACCAAGGCGACGAUGCGUAGCCGACCUGAGAGGGUGAUCGGCCACAUUGGGACUGAGACACGGCCCAGACUCCUACGGGAGGCAGCAGUGGGGAAUAUUGCACAAUGGGGGAAACCCUGAUGCCAGCAACGCCGCGUGAGUGAUGACGGCCUUCGGGUUGUAAAGCUCUGUCUUCAGGGACGAUAAUGACGGUACCUGAGGAGGAAGCCACGGCUAACUACGUGCCAGCCGCGGC